RNAcentral lists this ribosomal RNA (253 nucleotides) under uncultured bacterium. RNAcentral describes it as "partial 16S ribosomal RNA". It matches the Rfam family "Bacterial small subunit ribosomal RNA", at positions 524 to 776 of the family's 1533-position model. The record is from RNAcentral.
UACGUAGGGGGCAAGCGUUGUCCGGAUUUAUUGGGCGUAAAGAGCGUGUAGGCGGCUAUACAGGUCCGUUGUGAAAACUCGAGGCUCAACCUCGAGACGCCGAUGGAAACCGCAUGGCUAGAGUCCGGAAGAGGAGAGCGGAAUUCCUGGUGUAGCGGUGAAAUGCGCAGAUAUCAGGAAGAACACCCGUGGCGAAGGCGGCUCUCUGGGACGGUACUGACGCUGAGACGCGAAAGCGUGGGGAGCGAACAGG